This 295-nucleotide long non-coding RNA is filed under the name Brassica napus (rape). RNAcentral's name for it is "long non-coding RNA (BNAP_LNC013127)". Lineage: Eukaryota; Viridiplantae; Streptophyta; Magnoliopsida; Brassicales; Brassicaceae. The record is from RNAcentral.
GGGUGGGGUUUAGGAUUUAGGGUUUAGGGUUUAUGGUUUAGAGUUUAGGGUUUAGGGUUUAUAGAUUAGGGUUUAGGGUUUAGGGUUUAGGGUUUAGAAUUUAGGGUUUAGGGUUUAGAAUUUAGGGUUUAGAGUUUAGGGUUUGCGGUUUAGAGUUUAGGGUUUAGAGUUUAGAGUUGAGAAAUGAGGUUUUGGGGAUAAGAUUUCAAAUUUUAAAAAAUAAAAAAAUUAAAAUUUUCAAAGGAUAAACUUAGAAAUGUGCUAUUUUGGUUAUUUUAGUUUUGGAGUGCUAUUU